Non-coding RNA from Trichobilharzia regenti, 47 nucleotides. The record is from Rfam. Lineage: Eukaryota; Metazoa; Platyhelminthes; Trematoda; Strigeidida; Schistosomatidae.
CCCAAGGUUCCACUCGGAACCCUAGGAAAUAUAAUAAUAAUAAUAAU